RNAcentral lists this ribosomal RNA (454 nucleotides) under Pentodon algerinum. RNAcentral describes it as "partial 16S ribosomal RNA". It matches the Rfam family "Bacterial large subunit ribosomal RNA", at positions 1819 to 2541 of the family's 2925-position model. The record is from RNAcentral. Lineage: Eukaryota; Metazoa; Arthropoda; Insecta; Coleoptera; Scarabaeidae.
GUCUUUUUGAUUAUAAUUUAAAGUCUAACCUGCCCAAUGAGGAGUUAAAUGGCCGCGGUAUUUUGACCGUGCAAAGGUAGCAUAAUCAUUAGUUUUUUAAUUGGAAGCUGGAAUGAAUGGUUGGACGAGAAAGCAACUGUCUCAUUUUAAUUGUGAUUAGAAUUUUAUCUGUGAGUUAAAAAGCUCACAUAAUUUUAAAAGACGAGAAGACCCUAUAGAAUUUUAUAGUUUUGAUGAUGUAUUUUUGUUAGAAUUUUAUAUUUUACAUUAUUAGAACUGUUUCGUUGGGGCGAUGGAAAAAUUUAAUGAACUUUUUUUUAUACUUUUCAUAAAUUUAUGUAUGAAUGAUCCGUUAUUUACGAUUAUAAGAUAAAAUUACCUUAGGGAUAACAGCGUAAUUUUUCUUUAGAGUUCUAAUCGAAAGAAGAGUUUGCGACCUCGAUGUUGGAUUAAA